GAUGAACGCUGGCGGCGUGCCUAAUACAUGCAAGUCGAGCGAACGGACGAGAAGCUUGCUUCUCUGAUGUUAGCGGCGGACGGGGGAGUAACACGUGGAUAACCUACCUAUAAGACUGGGAUAACUUCGGGAAACCGGAGCUAAUACCGGAUAAUAUUUUGAACCGCAUGGUUCAAAAGUGAAAGACGGUCUUGCUGUCACUUAUAGAUGGAUCCGCGCUGCAUUAGCUAGUUGGUAAGGUAACGGCUUACCAAGGCAACGAUGCAUAGCCGACCUGAGAGGGUGAUCGGCCACACUGGAACUGAGACACGGUCCAGACUCCUACGGGAGGCAGCAGUAGGGAAUCUUCCGCAGUGGGCGAAAGCCUGACGGAGCAACGCCGCGUGAGUGAUGAAGGUCUUCGGAUCGUAAAACUCUGUUAUUAGGGAAGAACAUAUGUGUAAGUAACUGUGCACAUCUUGACGGUACCUAAUCAGAAAGCCACGGCUAACUACGUG
RNAcentral lists this ribosomal RNA (497 nucleotides) under uncultured bacterium. Its description in RNAcentral is "partial 16S ribosomal RNA". It matches the Rfam family "Bacterial small subunit ribosomal RNA", at positions 28 to 507 of the family's 1533-position model. The record is from RNAcentral.